RNAcentral lists this ribosomal RNA (253 nucleotides) under uncultured bacterium. Its description in RNAcentral is "partial 16S ribosomal RNA". It matches the Rfam family "Bacterial small subunit ribosomal RNA", at positions 524 to 776 of the family's 1533-position model. The record is from RNAcentral.
UACGUAGGGUGCAAGCGUUGUCCGGAAUUAUUGGGCGUAAAGGGCUCGUAGGCGGUUUGUCGCGUCUGCUGUGAAAACUGGAGGCUCAACCUCCAGCCUGCAGUGGGUACGGGCAGACUAGAGUGCGGUAGGGGAGAUUGGAAUUCCUGGUGUAGCGGUGGAAUGCGCAGAUAUCAGGAGGAACACCGAUGGCGAAGGCAGAUCUCUGGGCCGUAACUGACGCUGAGGAGCGAAAGCGUGGGGAGCGAACAGG